CGUAGGGUGCGAGCGUUAAUCGGAAUUACUGGGCGUAAAGCGUGCGCAGGCGGUUUUGUAAGACAGGCGUGAAAUCCCCGGGCUCAACCUGGGAACUGCGCUUGUGACUGCACGGCUAGAGUACGGCAGAGGGGGUGGAAUUCCACGUGUAGCAGUGAAAUGCGUAGAGAUGUGGAGGAACACCAAUGGCGAAGGCAGCCCCCUGGGUCGAUACUGACGCUCAUGCACGAAAGCGUGGGUAGCAAACAGGAUUAGAUACCCUGGUAGUCCACGCCCUAAACGAUGUCAACUAGGUGUUGGGAGGGUAAAACCUUUUAGUACCGGAGCUAACGCGUGAAGUUGACCGCCUGGGGAGUACGGCCGCAAGGUUA
Molecule: ribosomal RNA, 371 nt
Filed under: uncultured organism
Description: bacterial SSU rRNA
Rfam family: Bacterial small subunit ribosomal RNA
Source: RNAcentral